UGGAUAUGGGGGACAUGGAUGUGGGGGGACAUGGGUAUGGGAAGGUGGGUAUGGGGGAUACAUCAGUGGCAGGACAUGGCUGUGCGGGGCUGUGCAGGACAAGGGCUCCCUUUGGGACAGGGAUGGCGGGGGGUGCUGGGCUGCAGAGCCCACCCCAGUGGGAGCCGGGUCCCCAGGCCUCGUGUGCUGGCCCUGGGGUGUCCUGCAGGCACUGGGGGCUGCCCCAGAAGCCACACGGCAGACAUUUCCAUGGAUUCAGGUCCGGCUGUGCCAGCCACCCUGCGGCGUUACCUCCAGCGCUCCGCUGUCACGGGGCAGGGAAGGACACCAGGCCAAGGGCUUGUGGCUGCUGUGGGGAUUUGGCUGCAGCCAGCACCGGUGAACGUGGGCAGGCGAGCCCCACACGAGCAGCUCUGCACACCCCACUCAGUGAGACCACUGGGAAUGCCAGAGAUGAAGGGAGCCAUUCACUGUUACAUCCCCUUGCAUGCUACCCCAGCAGUGACUGAACAGGGGUUACAUCCAUCUGGCAGAACAUCACAUCAGCCCAGCACCACUCUGGGCCUCCUGUGACAGCUCCAGUGUCCCCACAGCUCUGGGGUGAGUCUGCCCAGCAUGGGAAUACAGCAGGAAAUUCUGACAGUGAUAGAAGGAAAAGACACAGUUUUUUGUUGGCCUGGUAAGUUGAUUCACUCAUGUGACCACUGUUUAAGGGAAUGAGAGGAAAACAAAAUGAGAAAGCUGCCCCUUCUGGCAGCCACCCACACGUAACGCUGAGCUGCUCUGACUCAAAUCAGAUGGACGCCUUCCUCUACUCAAAAAAACCCCAAAAACAUCUAUUUUCUGUUAAUGUGCUAAGUCUGCUGUCACAGUUUGAUUCUCUGUUGUCUGCACACCUCACCACUCUUGCCAAGGCUGGUGUCAGCCUGGCUCAGCUUCUGUCCCUGCUCACCCGGGACACACCAGCCACUGGGUUUUGUGGAAUGACUCAGCAGUAACUUCCCCUGAUUCUCUGGAAAUUCAGUGAUGCAGUAUUUACUGAGAAAUCAGGACUAAGAGCUUGGUGAUCUUCUCAGGCAAUUCUUAAAAUUCUUCUGCAUGGAAGUUUUAAAGAUGGGUAUGAACCAGUGGUUUUCAUUCACUCUGGUUACGUAUGAAAGACCAUGUGAAAUACCUCCAAUAUGGUGACACUGUUGUGUCAAUUUUUUAAACAAAGAACAGAAAAAUUACUGAAUAAUUUCAGAGGUUUUUUUCAUUGAAUUGCAAUUUUUGUUGUCCAACAUCCAACCUACCUAAAUCACUGCUAUCAUUGCCCAUUGCAAUCAGCUUGCAAAAUUCCCAUCUAUAUAUGUCUUUAUUGUUGCCUAUUCUUCCCUUUUGAGCAAGAUGUUUUGUUUUAAAACCAGAAAAGCCUCCUUUGAUGCCACUGAAAUUGUGCACAUUUGAGUCACCUAACAACACACUGAUGGAGGGCUGCCCCAGGUUCCAUUUGGAUCACACUGAGUCACUGGCAAAUUUGAACUCGUUUAUUGCUUCACAAACCUCAAACCAUGCAGGCUUUUAUUAACUCAGAGAUUAAUUUUGUGGUUGGCACACUCCCUGCUUUCCAGCUCUCUUGGCAUCGCUCUGGUUUGUACUGCUGGAAGUGCCUGGCAACCUCAGCUCUCCUGCAGCAUUCCUGGCUGCAGCUUCCCUAGGGAAGAGAGGGCUCCCAGGGCAUCACGAGUUAUUUCUAGGCAUACACCUAGAAAUCACAGCAUUCAGUGCUUUUAAAACAUCAGGUGUUUUACCUGGUAGAAAAAAAUAAAUUAAAUUGUGAGAGAAAUUACAAGAAAAACAACAUUUUUUUUCUCCAUUCUGUUCACCUUAGAGGGAUUGGUGAGCAGGAGGACAUGAGCCAGAGAACACAAUCCAGUAUUGUCAGUGCUUCUGGAAAUGUUGUGGCCAUUCACAAACAGUGUAAUUCCUCCAGACUUUGCUCUGGGAGGAGGUGAGCAGCUUGGGGCUUGAGGACAGGAGGAGUGCUAAGUCCUGCAGCCUUUCUUAACGGGCUUCCCAUGAUGAUUUUGAUUGCAUAAUUACAUAUAUUCCACCUGAAACCUUAACUGGGUGCAAGUCCCACUUAAUAAUAAAACGUACAAGUAGUUUACAGCUUUCUGUGACCAGACCAUUUCUUGCACAUGACAUUUCUCAAUUGCUCCCUCCCAUCACCUUUUACCCAGUGUCGAGGGCGUUUGCUGUUUUCUGUGUCUGGCUUUGCCCCACCAAACCCUGCACUCUCUCCCAGGUGAGGCACAAAUGAGCUGAACAAUCCUUAUUAAGUGUACAGCAUUUAGUGAGUCUCAGACUGACUAAUCACAUUUAUGUGCUUUCCCAGUCUGACUGUACUCACUGUUAUCUCCCAUCUGUAACUGUAAAUCCUCCAGGGCAGAGAUCAGCACUGUUACCUGUUGUAUAUUACCUAGCUGAAAGGAGCCAAGGAUUUUAUGUGCUUUGGCAAUAAACAGCAUAAAUAUCAUUAUGCUUUAAGAACAUUUGUGAAGUUUUUCUCCUUUGCACAUGGUUUCUAAAUCAGGCAGGACAAAAACCUAUCUGGGGAUCACAUUUGUAUAUGAAAUCUAUCUUGUGCCAAAACUAAGAUAUCCAAGUAGCA
This is a long non-coding RNA of Passer montanus (Eurasian tree sparrow), 2653 nucleotides long. RefSeq lists it as uncharacterized. The transcript has 3 exons. The record is from RefSeq and is a predicted model, not a curated record. Lineage: Eukaryota; Metazoa; Chordata; Aves; Passeriformes; Passeridae.